Non-coding RNA from Marmota monax (woodchuck), 450 nucleotides. NCBI's taxonomy places the organism in Eukaryota, Metazoa, Chordata, Mammalia, Rodentia, Sciuridae. The record is from the annotation of a RefSeq genome assembly.
GGGCUGUGGGAGCUCCCAGCUCUCUGCUCACACAGGGCUGAGGUCUCUGGGAAGGCAGGUGUGGUCUAGAAGAUGAGGCUGCUGGGUCUUGUCCUGUGCCUGGUCACAGCUCCCCAAGGUAUCUUGUGCCAGGUGCAGCUGCAGGAGUCAGGACCUGGCCUGGUGAAGCCCUCGCAGACCCUGUCCCUCACCUGUGCUGUCUCUGGUUACUCCAUCACCAUUGGUUACUGCUGGAGCUGGAUCCGUCAGCCCCCAGGGAAGGGGCUGGAGUGGAUAGGGAGCAUAUGUUAUAAUGGUAACACUUACUACAGCUCUACCCUCAAGAGCCGAGUGUCCAUCUCCAGAGACACGUCCAAGAACCAGUUCUCCCUGCAGCUGAGCUCCCUGACCACUGAGGACACAGCCACCUAUUACUGUGCCAGAGACACAGCAGAUCCUUCUGGGGCAUGA